GUCAGAGGUGAAAUUCUUGGAUUUAUGAAAGAUUAACUUCUGCGAAAGCAUCUGCCAAGGAUGUUUUCAUAAUCAAGAACGAAAGUUAGGGGAUCGAAGACGAUCAGAUACCGUCGUAGUCUUAACCAUAAACGAUGCCGACCAGCGAUUAGGAGACGUUGAAUACAAAACACCACCAUCGGUGCGGUCAUCCUUGGCGUUGGUCUUCAAAAGCCAGCGCGGGGGUGGCUUAGCCCGGUGGCACCGGUGAAUGACUCCCCUAUCAGCUUGUGAGA
This 275-nucleotide ribosomal RNA is filed under the name Acanthamoeba sp. RNAcentral describes it as "partial 18S ribosomal RNA". It matches the Rfam family "Eukaryotic small subunit ribosomal RNA", at positions 904 to 1095 of the family's 1831-position model. Lineage: Eukaryota; Discosea; Longamoebia; Acanthamoebidae. The record is from RNAcentral.